CAUGUGGUUUAAUUCGAUGAUACGCGAGGAACCUUACCUGGGCUUAAAUGGGGAGUGACAGCUGUCGAAAGAUGGUUUUCUUCGGACACUCUUCAAGGUGCUGCAUGGUUGUCGUCAGCUCGUGCCGUGAGGUGUCGGGUUAAGUCCCAUAACGAGCGCAACCCUUACCGUUAGUUACCAUCAGGUUAAGCUGGGGACUCUAGCGGGACUGCCACCGUAAGGUGAGAGGAAGGUGGGGAUGACGUCAAAUCAGCACGGCCCUUAUGCCCAGGGCUACACACGUGUUACAAUGGCCAGUACAAAGGGCAGCUACCGGGUGACCGGAUGCUAAUCUCUAAAGCUGGUCUCAGUUCGGAUCGAAGUCUGCAACCCGACUUCGUGAAGCUGGAUUCGCUAGUAAUCGCGCAUCAGCCAUGGCGCGGUGAAUACGUUCCCGGGCCUU
This 442-nucleotide ribosomal RNA is filed under the name uncultured Sphingobacteriales bacterium. Its description in RNAcentral is "bacterial SSU rRNA". It matches the Rfam family "Bacterial small subunit ribosomal RNA", at positions 938 to 1382 of the family's 1533-position model. The record is from RNAcentral. Lineage: Bacteria; Pseudomonadati; Bacteroidota; Sphingobacteriia; Sphingobacteriales.